Molecule: ribosomal RNA, 403 nt
Filed under: uncultured bacterium
Lineage: Bacteria
Description: bacterial SSU rRNA
Rfam family: Bacterial small subunit ribosomal RNA
Source: RNAcentral
UGAGGAAUAUUGGGCAAUGGGGGCAACCCUGACCCAGCCAUGCCGCGUGAGUGAUAAGGUUUUCGGAUUGUAAAGCUCUUUCGGAUGUGAAGAUGAUGACGGUAGCAUCUAAAGAAGCCCCGGCAAACUUCGUGCCAGCAGCCGCGGUAAUACGAAGGGGGCGAGCGUUGUUCGGAAUUACUGGGCGUAAAGGGUGUGUAGGCGGAUAUGUAAGAUAGGGGUGAAAUGCCAGGGCUCAACCUUGGAACUGCCUUUAUAACUAUGUAUCUAGAGUGAUGAAGAGGAUAGCGGAAUACCCAGUGUAGAGGUGAAAUUCGUAGAUAUUGGGUAGAACACCAGUGGCGAAGGCGGCUAUCUGGGCAUCAACUGACGCUGAGGCACGAAAGCAUGGGGAUCAAACAGG